Molecule: transfer RNA, 77 nt
Filed under: Alcanivorax sp. N3-2A
Lineage: Bacteria; Pseudomonadati; Pseudomonadota; Gammaproteobacteria; Oceanospirillales; Alcanivoracaceae
Description: tRNA-Arg
Rfam family: tRNA
About the family: Transfer RNA (tRNA) molecules are approximately 80 nucleotides in length. Their secondary structure includes four short double-helical elements and three loops (D, anti-codon, and T loops). Further hydrogen bonds mediate the characteristic L-shaped molecular structure. tRNAs have two regions of fundamental functional importance: the anti-codon, which is responsible for specific mRNA codon recognition, and the 3' end, to which the tRNAs corresponding amino acid is attached (by aminoacyl-tRNA synthetases). tRNAs cope with the degeneracy of the genetic code in two manners: having more than one tRNA (with a specific anti-codon) for a particular amino acid; and 'wobble' base-pairing, i.e. permitting non-standard base-pairing at the 3rd anti-codon position.
Source: RNAcentral
GCGCCUGUAGCUCAAUUGGAUAGAGCAACGGCCUUCUAAGCCGUAGGUUGCAGGUUCGAGCCCUGCCAGGUGCGCCA